UCGUUGUAGCAAUACGAUGGAAAGUCUAGUGGCGAACGGGUGCUUAACACGUGGGCAACCUGCCAAGAAGUGGGGGACAGCUCGCCGAAAGGCGGAUUAAUACCGCAUGUGAUUAGAGAGGACAUCCUUUCGAAAUUAAAGUCGGGGCAACCUGACGCUUCUUGUGGGGCCCGCGGCCUAUCAGCUAGUUGGUGGGGUAACGGCUCACCAAGGCUUUGACGGGUAGCUGGUCUGAGAGGACGACCAGCCACACUGGGACUGAGACACGGCCCAGACACCUACGGGUGGCAGCAGUCGAGAAUUUUUGACAAUGGGAGAAACCCUGAUCGAGCGACGCCGCGUGGAGGAUGAAGGUCUUCGGAUUGUAAACUCCUGUCAUUGGGGAACAAUGCACAGAUAUUAACUGUAUUUGUGUUGAUAGUACCCGAAGAGGAAGAGACGGCUAACUCUGUGCCAGCAGCCGCGGUAAUACAGAGGUCUCAAGCGUUGUUCGGAUUCAUUGGGCGUAAAGGGUGCGUAGGCGGCGCGGUAAGUCGGGUGUGAAAUCUCGGAGCUUAACUCCGAAACUGCAUUCGAUACUGCCGUGCUUGAGGACUGGAGAGGAGACUGGAAUUCUCGGUGUAGCA
Molecule: ribosomal RNA, 626 nt
Filed under: uncultured Verrucomicrobiota bacterium
Lineage: Bacteria; Pseudomonadati; Verrucomicrobiota
Description: bacterial SSU rRNA
Rfam family: Bacterial small subunit ribosomal RNA
Source: RNAcentral